UGCACACAGACCCACUAAGUAUUCAAUUUGCAUGGACCAUUACCAGGUUUGUGCAUGGCAUUUGGGAGCUUUGCAGUUGAGAGUCUUUUGAAAAUCUGGCCCAUUAUGACAGAAAGCAUCUGUAAUUAACAGCAACUGAUCUCCCUCUGCCCAGCAUUGGUGAAAGGUGUAAAAUGCUCUGUGUGUGGUUUGAUGGAGCCCAAAGCCCCUUUGAUAGGCUGAAAGGAAGGCAAAAACAGUCUUUAAGGAUGUAAUUCACCCUUGGAUGUAGUCGUGAAUAUCAGAGUUUUGCAAGCAGAGAAAAGGACAAGAAUGGAUGUUUUCUUAGCAACUACAGUGCUGGAUCAUCACAUAUCUCAUCUGAUCUUAACACAAGUACUCUGUGAGCAACCCUCACUGAAGCAGGAUGCAGAGUCAAGCUGUUGCCAUGAAGAUUGUUUCAAGAGCUCAGAAAUCCUCCAGGAAGCCCUUUAUCACUGCUUUUCAAAGAGGCCUUUGUUCUUCUCUUCUCCUGUUUCCUGCAAAGGGAGUGGUGUCCAAUACUGGGGGACAUGGUGAGGCCAAGAAGGACCCGAGGACUCCUCUGGGACUAGGAUCUUCUAAGCUGUGAAAUCUGCCAUUCUGAUCACUAUCCUUUCUUCC
RNAcentral lists this long non-coding RNA (642 nucleotides) under Equus asinus (donkey). RNAcentral describes it as "lncRNA (ENSEASG00005035421.1)". The record is from RNAcentral. Lineage: Eukaryota; Metazoa; Chordata; Mammalia; Perissodactyla; Equidae.